GUUGAUGGAUUACUAAAAAAACAUUUUUUAAAAAUUAUUUAGUGCUGAAUAAUUACAUAAUUUUCGUUAAAGUAUUUUAACCAGGCUUUAUCGUAUUAAUUAUAUUAAUCUUAAAUUCUAGCUAAGGUGUGUAAAUGAGGUCUUUGAUUCGGUAAACUGUGGUGAAAAACGUGGUACAGCAUGUCCGCAUCUUCGGUGGAAGAACCGGGUGUCCAACAAUUUAGCACCUGCACUGGCUUAGUAAUGUUGUGGAAGAAUAGAAGAAAAUGCUCCGGAUAGAAAGGCACAAAGGCAUUUUGUAUUACUUAUUGGCAACAGCUAGCAAAUGAUCGGUCUGACUGGCGGAGGUUACUGAAAGCAGCCAAGUAUGACUUAUGUCUGUAACGACCAUCUAAUUAGAAGAAAAACACUUGACAACGUUCCGUGAGUGGUUCAGUUUGAUAUGCUGUGGUUAUGUGGAUUUUUUGCAAUUUCGUAUUGUUGAUUUUGAG
Molecule: long non-coding RNA, 491 nt
Organism: Teleopsis dalmanni
Lineage: Eukaryota; Metazoa; Arthropoda; Insecta; Diptera; Diopsidae
Exons: 3
Source: RefSeq, a predicted model, not a curated record